GUGCAACAAUAUCUGCGCCAUCUCUCACCGCCUGUGCAGAAGAGAUCAACCAAAAGAUCGCUCUGUUUCUUUGCUGGUUCCGGACAAGCAAACCGAUCACCACAUCAAAAGUUUUAAAAAAGAAGGAAUAUAGCAUUUAAAAGAGAUUAUUAAACUUUUAAUAACAAAACAAUGAUUACAGCUACUGAAGCUGAGAGAUCAGAUCAGCUCAGCUGAGACAAGAGAC
Molecule: unclassified non-coding RNA, 226 nt
Filed under: Hevea brasiliensis (rubber tree)
Lineage: Eukaryota; Viridiplantae; Streptophyta; Magnoliopsida; Malpighiales; Euphorbiaceae
Source: RNAcentral